This 799-nucleotide ribosomal RNA is filed under the name uncultured bacterium. RNAcentral's name for it is "bacterial SSU rRNA". It matches the Rfam family "Bacterial small subunit ribosomal RNA", at positions 117 to 929 of the family's 1533-position model. The record is from RNAcentral.
GUGGGCGACCUGCCCCAAAGACUGGGAUAACAGUUCGAAAGGGCUGCUAAUACCGGAUGUGGUGAUGAGGGUUAGAUGCCUCAUGACUGAAGGAGCAAUCCACUUUGGGAGGGGCCUGCGUCCCAUCAGCUAGUUGGUAAGGUAACGGCUUACCAAGGCGACGACGGGUAGGGGGCCUGAGAGGGUGACCCCCCACACUGGCACUGAAACACGGGCCAGACACCUACGGGUGGCAGCAGUAGGGAAUAUUGCACAAUGGGCGAAAGCCUGAUGCAGCAACGCCGCGUGCGCGAUGAAGGCCUUCGGGUUGUAAAGCGCUUUUCUGUAGGACGAGGAAGGACGGUACUACAGGAAUAAGGCUCGGCUAACUACGUGCCAGCAGCCGCGGUAAAACGUAGGAGCCAAGCGUUAUCCGAAUUCACUGGGCGUAAAGCGCGUGCAGGCGGCCUGAUAAGUUGGAUUUGAAAGCUCCUGGCUCAACUGGGAGAGGAGGUUCAAUACUGUCAGGCUAGAGGGCGACAGAGGGAGGUGGAAUUCCCGGUGUAGUGGUGAAAUGCGUAGAUAUCGGGAGGAACACCAGUGGCGAAGGCGGCCUCCUGGGUCGCACCUGACGCUCAGACGCGAAAGCUAGGGUAGCGAACGGGAUUAGAAACCCCGGUAGUCCUAGCCGUAAACGAUGUAGACUUGGUGUUGGUGGUGUAAGAGCCAUCAGUGCCGAAGCAAACGCGAUAAGUCUACCGCCUGGGGACUACGGCCGCAAGGUUAAAACUCAAAGGAAUUGACGGGGGGCCCGCACAAG